GGCAACCCUGAUCCAGCAAUGCCGCGUGCAGGAAGAAGGCCUUCGGGUUGUAAACCGCUUUUGUCAGGGAAGAAAUCCUGUGGGUUAAUACCUCGUGGGGAUGACGGUACCUGAAGAAUAAGCACCGGCUAACUACGUGCCAGCAGCCGCGGUAAUACGUAGGGUGCGAGCGUUAAUCGGAAUUACUGGGCGUAAAGCGUGCGCAGGCGGUUUUGUAAGACAGAGGUGAAAUCCCCGGGCUCAACCUGGGAACUGCCUUUGCGACUGCAAGGCUGGAGUACGGCAGAGGGGGAUGGAAUUCC
This 302-nucleotide ribosomal RNA is filed under the name uncultured Gammaproteobacteria bacterium. RNAcentral's name for it is "bacterial SSU rRNA". It matches the Rfam family "Bacterial small subunit ribosomal RNA", at positions 376 to 670 of the family's 1533-position model. The record is from RNAcentral. Lineage: Bacteria; Pseudomonadati; Pseudomonadota; Gammaproteobacteria.